GGGGUAGUAAAGGUUUCGACGGGGGUUAUGAAGCUGGAGAAGCUAUCCGCAGGUGAUGCGUCAAAUCACAAACCUAAAUAUAAACGCUGAAGACAAUUUAGCAAUCGCUGCCUAAUGGCAGCUGUCUGACUUAGAGCACCUGCACUUUAAGACCCAGGCAUCGACUAUGCAGGAAACGACGUAUGCUAAGCUUUGCACAUGCGGGCGUAUCAUGAAGCUACUAAAAGCAGAAGGAUGUCUGUUUCCGUCUGCCGGAGGGAAUGUCAAACAACCGACUAUGAUAGUAGAAGGACAGUGAAUUGGCUUUCGGACACGAGUUCGAUUCUCGUCUACUCCAUAC
This 340-nucleotide transfer-messenger RNA is filed under the name Lachnospiraceae. RNAcentral describes it as "Choladousia sp003612585 Standard tmRNA". It matches the Rfam family "transfer-messenger RNA". From Rfam's summary of the family: Bacterial tmRNA, also known as 10Sa RNA or SsrA, is named for its dual tRNA and mRNA-like properties. Its role is to liberate the mRNA from a stalled ribosome. To accomplish this part of the tmRNA is used as a reading frame that ends in a translation stop signal. Lineage: Bacteria; Bacillati; Bacillota; Clostridia; Lachnospirales. The record is from RNAcentral. RNAcentral also lists the same sequence under 2 other names.